Molecule: ribosomal RNA, 1243 nt
Filed under: Escherichia coli
Lineage: Bacteria; Pseudomonadati; Pseudomonadota; Gammaproteobacteria; Enterobacterales; Enterobacteriaceae
Description: bacterial LSU rRNA
Rfam family: Bacterial large subunit ribosomal RNA
Source: RNAcentral
GGGUUGUGAGGUUAAGCGACUAAGCGUACACGGUGGAUGCCCUGGCAGUCAGAGGCGAUGAAGGACGUGCUAAUCUGCGAUAAGCGUCGGUAAGGUGAUAUGAACCGUUAUAACCGGCGAUUUCCGAAUGGGGAAACCCAGUGUGUUUCGACACACUAUCAUUAACUGAAUCCAUAGGUUAAUGAGGCGAACCGGGGGAACUGAAACAUCUAAGUACCCCGAGGAAAAGAAAUCAACCGAGAUUCCCCCAGUAGCGGCGAGCGAACGGGGAGCAGCCCAGAGCCUGAAUCAGUGUGUGUGUUAGUGGAAGCGUCUGGAAAGGCGCGCGAUACAGGGUGACAGCCCCGUACACAAAAAUGCACAUGCUGUGAGCUCGAUGAGUAGGGCGGGACACGUGGUAUCCUGUCUGAAUAUGGGGGGACCAUCCUCCAAGGCUAAAUACUCCUGACUGACCGAUAGUGAACCAGUACCGUGAGGGAAAGGCGAAAAGAACCCCGGCGAGGGGAGUGAAAAAGAACCUGAAACCGUGUACGUACAAGCAGUGGGAGCACGCUUAGGCGUGUGACUGCGUACCUUUUGUAUAAUGGGUCAGCGACUUAUAUUCUGUAGCAAGGUUAACCGAAUAGGGGAGCCGAAGGGAAACCGAGUCUUAACUGGGCGUUAAGUUGCAGGGUAUAGACCCGAAACCCGGUGAUCUAGCCAUGGGCAGGUUGAAGGUUGGGUAACACUAACUGGAGGACCGAACCGACUAAUGUUGAAAAAUUAGCGGAUGACUUGUGGCUGGGGGUGAAAGGCCAAUCAAACCGGGAGAUAGCUGGUUCUCCCCGAAAGCUAUUUAGGUAGCGCCUCGUGAAUUCAUCUCCGGGGGUAGAGCACUGUUUCGGCAAGGGGGUCAUCCCGACUUACCAACCCGAUGCAAACUGCGAAUACCGGAGAAUGUUAUCACGGGAGACACACGGCGGGUGCUAACGUCCGUCGUGAAGAGGGAAACAACCCAGACCGCCAGCUAAGGUCCCAAAGUCAUGGUUAAGUGGGAAACGAUGUGGGAAGGCCCAGACAGCCAGGAUGUUGGCUUAGAAGCAGCCAUCAUUUAAAGAAAGCGUAAUAGCUCACUGGUCGAGUCGGCCUGCGCGGAAGAUGUAACGGGGCUAAACCAUGCACCGAAGCUGCGGCAGCGACGCUUAUGCGUUGUUGGGUAGGGGAGCGUUCUGUAAGCCUGCGAAGGUGUGCUGUGAGGCAUGCU